CAGCCGCCGCGGGAAUACGUAGGUGGCAAGCGUUGUCCGGAAUUAUUGGGCGUAAAGGGCGCGUAGGCGGCGAUAAUAGUCAGAAGUGAAAGCCCCGGGCUCAACCUGGGAAUUGCUUUUGAUACUGUAAUGCUUGAGUUCGGGAGAGGUGAGUGGAAUUCCCAGUGUAGAGGUGAAAUUCGUAGAUAUUGGGAAGAACACCGGUGGCGAAGGCGGCUCACUGGACCGAUACUGACGCUGAGGCGCGAAAGCGUGGGAGCAAACAGGAUUAGAUACCCCGGUAGUCCCUGUCUCUUAUACC
RNAcentral lists this ribosomal RNA (301 nucleotides) under uncultured bacterium. RNAcentral describes it as "partial 16S ribosomal RNA". It matches the Rfam family "Bacterial small subunit ribosomal RNA", at positions 509 to 808 of the family's 1533-position model. The record is from RNAcentral.